GAUGAACGCUGGCGGCGUGCCUAAUACAUGCAAGUCGAGCGAACGGACGAGAAGCUUGCUUCUCUGAUGUUAGCGGCGGACGGGUGAGUAACACGUGGAUAACCUACCUAUAAGACUGGGAUAACUUCGGGAAACCGGAGCUAAUACCGGAUAAUAUUUUGAACCGCAUGGUUCAAAAGUGAAAGACGGUCUUGCUGUCACUUAUAGAUGGAUCCGCGCUGCAUUAGCUAGUUGGUAAGGUAACGGCUUACCAAGGCAACGAUGCAUAGCCGACCUGAGAGGGUGAUCGGCCACACUGGAACUGAGACACGGUCCAGACUCCUACGGGAGGCAGCAGUAGGGAAUCUUCCGCAAUGGGCGAAAGCCUGACGGAGCAACGCCGCGUGAGUGAUGAAGGUCUUCGGAUCGUAAAACUCUGUUAUUAGGGAAGAACAUAUGUGUAAGUAACUGUGCACAUCUUGACGGUACCUAAUCAGAAAGCCACGGCUAACUA
Molecule: ribosomal RNA, 493 nt
Filed under: uncultured bacterium
Lineage: Bacteria
Description: partial 16S ribosomal RNA
Rfam family: Bacterial small subunit ribosomal RNA
Source: RNAcentral